Molecule: ribosomal RNA, 330 nt
Filed under: uncultured bacterium
Lineage: Bacteria
Description: bacterial SSU rRNA
Rfam family: Bacterial small subunit ribosomal RNA
Source: RNAcentral
AAUAAACGUUGGCGGCGUGCUUAACACAUGCAAGUCGAGCGAGAAAAGUUUUCGGACUUAGUACAGCGGCAAACGGGUGAGUAACACGUGGGAAUCUACCUUUUAGUGAAGAAUACCCUCGAGAAAUCGAGGUUAAUGCUGCAUACGUCUCGCAAGAGAGAAAGAUGGCCUCUUUGCUGUCGCUGAAAGAUGAGCCUGCGUACUAUUAGCUAGUUGGUGGGUAAAGGCCUACCAAGGCUAUGAUGGUUAGCCGGCCUGAGAGGGUGUACGGCCACGACUGGAACCUUAGACACGGUCCAGACUCCUACGGAGCAGCAGUGAGGAAUAUUG